GAGUUUGAUCCUGGCUCAGAACGAACGCUGGCGGCAGGCUUAACACAUGCAAGUCGAACGCCCCGCAAGGGGAGUGGCAGACGGGUGAGUAACACGUGGGAACAUACCCUUCGGUUCGGAACAACGUUUGGAAACGGACGCUAAUACCGGAUACGCCCUAUUGGGGAAAGGCUUGCUGCCGAAGGAUUGGCCCGCGUUCGAUUAGCUAGAUGGCGGGGUAAUGGCCCACCAUGGCGACGAUCGAUAGCUGGUCUGAGAGGAUGGCCAGCCACAUUGGGACUGAGACACGGCCCAAACUCCUACAGGAGGCAGCAGUGGGGAAUAUUGGACAAUGGGCGCAAGCCUGAUCCAGCCAUGCCGCGUGAGUGAUGACGGCCUUAGGGUUGUAAAGCUCUUUCGCACGCGACGAUAAUGACGGUAGCGUGAGAAGAAGCCCCGGCUAACUUCGUGCCAGCAGCCGCGGUAAUACG
Molecule: ribosomal RNA, 470 nt
Filed under: uncultured eubacterium WR8173
Lineage: Bacteria
Description: bacterial SSU rRNA
Rfam family: Bacterial small subunit ribosomal RNA
Source: RNAcentral